Eutrema salsugineum is the source of this 105-nucleotide small nucleolar RNA. It matches the Rfam family "Plant small nucleolar RNA R71". Rfam says of the family: R71 is a member of the C/D box family of snoRNAs containing the C (UGAUGA) and D (CUGA) box motifs. Multiple nearly identical copies of this snoRNA have been identified in Arabidopsis, and it is thought to function as a 2'-O-ribose methylation guide for 18S ribosomal RNA. NCBI's taxonomy places the organism in Eukaryota, Viridiplantae, Streptophyta, Magnoliopsida, Brassicales, Brassicaceae. The record is from Rfam.
UUGCUAUGUUGAAUAAAAUCUGGUGUAGCUCCUGAAUCUCUCCCAUGCUUCACCAAAACUCUCAUUGCUAUGUUGAGUGAAGCUAGAGAUUUUAUUUCUUAGCUU